Molecule: ribosomal RNA, 253 nt
Filed under: uncultured bacterium
Lineage: Bacteria
Description: partial 16S ribosomal RNA
Rfam family: Bacterial small subunit ribosomal RNA
Source: RNAcentral
UACGUAGGGGGCGAGCGUUGUCCGGAUUUAUUGGGCGUAAAGAGCGUGUAGGCGGCCGAGCAGGUCCGUUGUGAAAACUGAAGGCUCAACCUUCAGAGGUCGAUGGAAACCGUUCGGCUAGAGUCCGGAAGAGGAGAGUGGAAUUCCUGGUGUAGCGGUGAAAUGCGCAGAUAUCAGGAAGAACACCCGUGGCGAAAGCGGCUCUCGGGGACGGUACUGACUAUGAGACGCGAAAGCGUGGGGAGCGAACAGG